Molecule: long non-coding RNA, 2997 nt
Filed under: Musa acuminata (dwarf banana)
Lineage: Eukaryota; Viridiplantae; Streptophyta; Magnoliopsida; Zingiberales; Musaceae
Description: long non-coding RNA (MACU_LNC003130)
Source: RNAcentral
AUGUCUUUGGUUUUUCUUAAGCAAUUCUUUGUUAUCAUCUCAAUGAAAAGUGGCUUUAACUUCUAGAAUUGUCAUCCAAGGUUGUCCUAGCCCUUUUUUUUUUUGGUGAUAUGGGAGUAUCUUGGUCUGGUUGAAAUUUACACAUAUUCGAAGGGUAAGAACCCAGAUGACAAGGACCUGAUGAUCCUAUUUUCCAAGAAGAGAACUGUGGAGGUCUUUCUGUAAUAGGAUUCACAAAGACCUGAUAAAACAGUUUAAAUAGCAAGUCUUCUCACAUUCAUUUUCUUCUCAGACUCCCAAGAUGAUUCACUUUCUAAUUGAAACAUGUUGGUCUGGGGUUCAAGUGUGAAUCACAAACCAUUCUGCUCCACCAGAGGCUCCCCAGUCUUCUCUUAACAAGACAGUGGAGGCUGCUGCCCUGAUUGUUGCCUCCCCAAAGGCCUUCCAAUCUGCUCUCAACAACGCAGUAGAGGUUGCUCCCCCUAUUGCUGCUGCCCCUAAGGCUCCCCUCUCCUGGGCUGGUCUCCUACAUCAAGCGCAAGGCACCAACUCCUGGAAGCCUAACGCUGCAUGAGAGGAGAAUAUUUAACGCAUUUAGGCAAGCUCAAAGUUGUUCCCUGAUCUAAAUGAUGAUGAAGUGGAUAUAGCAAAACAAGCAUGGAGAACAAGUUUAUAUGAAAAUUCUUUAGUAAAACUCCUUUGGAUUCCAUUAAAAUAGCUCUUCCUAAACUGUGGCAGUUGAAGAAAUCGAUCCAUGUUAUAGACAUGGUCGGUGGUUUCUUUUGCUUUAGAUUUUAGUCGGAGGAAGAGAAGGAUACUGUGCUCACAGGUGGUCUGUGGUUUUGGACUUCGGAGGAGACAAGCCUUGAGUCUAAUUCCAUAGAAGGAGAACUUCCAACUCCUUAAGGAGUUUGUUAGAUUCGUACCCAUCUAGGUACAAUUUCUUGGGAUACCCCCUUGAAUUCUUACAGUCUAACAUCUUAUUCCAAAUCGUUGCGAUGACCGAUAAACCCCUCAAAAUAGACGAAAUCACAUAUAGGGGAGUGAGGGAAAAGUUCGUCAAAGUAUGCAUCAUGGUUGAUCUCUCCUCCCCUCUCCCUCAUCCCCCAAGGGGUGUGGAUUAGGGCUAAAGGAGUUCCUUUCUUCUAGAACAUGGACGGUGAAAACCUUCCUAGUUUUUCUCUUAUGGAAGGAUAGGUAAUAAGGCAUAGGGUUGUCUUUAGAAGCUGUGUCGAUGCCCAAAAUACAUGAAGAACCAAUGUCUAAUUCUGGUAGGGUUUCGGCAAGCGGCCACAACACACAAGUGAGGGAGGGGAAGGAACAUUAGUUGUACGGACCAUUAUCCAUGGUCCUGUAAAAAGUAAACCCAGGUUGAAGGCGACUAAUCCUAGUUCAACCAAGACCAAGGGGAACUAAACCCUUAGGGAGCAUGACGAAGUCAAAAUUUUAUUGACAAUGCUAGCUUUAUGGAUUUGGGCUUCUACAACCCUUGCUUUACUUGGUGCGAUAAUAAAUUUUGUCAAUAGUUGUUGGGUUUCUACUGUUAUUGAUCGGGUUCUCGCUAAUAGUUGUUGGCUUUCUACCGUUAUUGAUGUUGCUGUUUUCCACGUACCUCAUAUAGCUUCAGAUCAUGCCCUUUUACUUAUUAAAGUUACUUUUGAGUAUGUUAGGAAGAGGGAAAAAAAAAAAGCUUUCUACUUUAAGCCCCACUGGUUUGAGUGCCCUAGUCUCACCUUCAUUGUUCAAGAUGACUGGCCACUUCAGGGUAGGAUGGUUACACGGUUGAUUUCUUUGUCCACUUCUGGGAGCUCCUUAAGUUUCCUAUUGAAUCGGCCUUUAGAGAAUUACAUAGAUCGACUGUGAUUCCUUAAAGUUGAGGGAAACUACUCUAAUUUUUCAUUCCUAAGAAGGAUAGCCCUCUCUAAAUCAAUGACUUAGACAAAUCAAACCUCUUUUAGGCAACCUCACCAAUCAAGAGCAAUAUGCUCCUUUACAAAAGCAUUUCUUGUCCCAAGCUGGUAAAGUAGCAUUAAUAAACUCUCUUUUUAACUCCAUUCCCUGACAUUCGAUUGUUAGUUGUUGGAUCACCAAUAAAUUUGCUAAUGAUAUCUCCAAAUAUAGCAAAUCUUUUUUUGGGGGUGAUUCUUCUUCACAUAGAAAGAUCAGACUCCUCAGUUGGGAUCAUGUUACUGCCCCUAAAGAUUCUGGUGGGCUGGGGGUCUGGGACAUUAGCAUAGUCAAGUAUGUUGUCAAUGCUAGGCGCAUUCUUCCUAUCCUCAACAACUCCAACUUCCUUUGGGCUAGAAUCCUUAUUGCCAAGUAUGACAUCCCUGACCCUUGGGCCUUGGACCGUAGAAAAAUCUCUCAAAUCUGGACAGGCAUCAACAACACUAUUUAUUGUGUUAGAGAGAGUCUUAGGAGGGUAGUAGGAACUGGGCAACACAUCAGAUUAUUGGAUGACCCUUGGCUCUCCAACAUACCCCAAGUAAAUGGUCCACUUUCUUCAACUGUGAUAGGGUUAAUGACUUCAAUUCUGUUGAAGAUCUGUGUGUCAACAGAACUAGGAAUAUUCAGCUCCUGCUAGAUAUCUUUCAUCUCAUCUUGGUUGGCAAGAUCACAAGUAUCCACUUGGCCCUUGAGUCUGAUGAUGAUAGUUGAGUUUGGAGUUCUCACCCUCAGGGUUUGCAAUUUCUAAGAGCAUAUAUAUAGAUAGUUGAGGGAUAGACGAAUUGAUCAUAGGAGGGGUUGGGAUGGUUGGAACGUUGUGUAUAUUCUGAAUGCUCUUCCUAGAGUUAAAAGUUUUCUUGUGAAAAUUCCUUUGGGGAAGAUUACCUAUUUCUUUGUGUCUCUCAAAUGUCAUACAGUAUUAUGUGGAUCAAUAUUGUGUUGGUAAUGAUGAGGUGGACUCGCUGAGCACAGUCUCUUUUCUUGCAACUUUGCUAGAUCUAUUGGGAACUGCUUCAAACAAAGCUGAGCUUCAAUUUCUCUUGUAUGGCA